CAGUCGCCACGGGAAUACAGAGGGUGCGAGCGUUAAUCGGAUUUACUGGGCGUAAAGCGUGCGUAGGCGGCUUUUUAAGUCGGAUGUGAAAUCCCUGAGCUUAACUUAGGAAUUGCAUUCGAUACUGGGAAGCUAGAGUAUGGGAGAGGAUGGUAGAAUUCCAGGUGUAGCGGUGAAAUGCGUAGAGAUCUGGAGGAAUACCGAUGGCGAAGGCAGCCAUCUGGCCUAAUACUGACGCUGAGGUACGAAAGCAUGGGGAGCAAACAGGAUUAGAUACCCCAGUAGUCCCUGUCUCUUACAA
Molecule: ribosomal RNA, 301 nt
Filed under: uncultured bacterium
Lineage: Bacteria
Description: partial 16S ribosomal RNA
Rfam family: Bacterial small subunit ribosomal RNA
Source: RNAcentral